Molecule: long non-coding RNA, 2167 nt
Filed under: Lathyrus oleraceus (garden pea)
Lineage: Eukaryota; Viridiplantae; Streptophyta; Magnoliopsida; Fabales; Fabaceae
Description: Pisum sativum (pea) long non-coding RNA (PSAT_LNC032456)
Source: RNAcentral
GUUAGAAAGAAAGAAAAGAAGAAGUGGAUAAGAAGAGAGGUAGUAGGUAAGAUAGAGAGAGAGAGUUAUUAGGAAGUGGGAGAAGAGAAAAGAAAAGAAAGAAAGAGGAAAAGAGGAAAAGAGGAAGAAGAGAAGAAGAGGAAGGAAGGAAGAAGAUGGAAAAGCUCAUGAAGAUCAUGUUCAUCACCACCAUCAUCUCAUCUUCAUCAUCACCAAUUGCAUCUCCAUUUCAAAACUUUCAUCUUCAAGGUGAGUUCUUAGAUAGAUUUAGCAUUUGGGGGAAAAUAACCUAUAUUUGGGGGGGUUAGGAUUUGUGUGAAUUUGUGAUGAACUUGUUGUUUUCAUACUCCUCAUCCAUGCUAUGUGUUGAUAUCAUGUUGUUGUUUUUGAAGUUGUGAUCCUUGAGUGUUUGAUGCUUAUGUGUUUUGUUGUUGAACUUAUGGAGGUUAAUCACAUAAUUUCAUAACAAUAUAUGUUUUAGUAUGGAUUGGGAGGGUUGAAAUUGGAAAAAGGAGUGGUUAAAAGAUGAAUUAAAAUACGUCACUGUAAUAAUUAAUCUAUUGACAUGAAUUAAUUAUUUGAUGAAUUAAAAUACGUCACUGAUAGGGGUCGAACCCAAGACCUCCUUGAUAUGGUACAAGCCUUACCACUAGGCUAAGGAUCUUGUUGUUGAAUAGUCAUGCAAUGAAUAAAUGUUAAUCUAAAUCUUGAUUAAGAUAGAUUAAUGAAUUAAUUGAGUGUUAUAAGGAUCUUGUUGUUGAAUAGUCAUGCAAUGAAUAAAUGUUAAUCUAAAUCUUGAUUAAGAUAGAUUAAUGAAUUAAUUGAGUGUUAUAACUCCGUUUUGGAUGCGGACGGAUGCGUUAGUAAGAUAACAAAAAAGGCUAUUAUUAUGAUACCAUGUUAUAGUAUAUUAUGUGUCUUACAAAUUCUAUGAAUUAUAUUACGAUGGGUGUUAAACAUGGUUGAUAUGUUUGAUUGUGAAAUAACAUGAUUAAAAACCUUACAAAGGUGAGUGAGGAAACCUAGGAGUAUAACAUGAUUAAUAACUUAGAAAGAUAAUCUAGGUUAUGGAACAUGUGUGAUAUGUAUGAGAAUACGGUAUUCAUUCGUAUGACGCUUAUGUGGAGGUCGUGGACAAAUUGUUGCCAUGAUUGAAAAUGAGACGCAUUGUAUGGGACAUGCCAUGUUAUUAUUUUUGUAUUAUGGUGAAUGAAGUCACCUGUGAUUGUUGGAUUUGUUUAUGGUUCGUGGAACCGAUGAUUGUGGAACCGAUCAUGUAUUCAGAAUUUGUGUUUUCUGUGAUGGUACACAUCUCUUUUGGUAUGCUUAGACGAGUAAGCAUUGGGAUGUGGGACCAAUGAUUUGAGGCUCAACUGGGUUUGAGCCCCAACCAUGGCGAACAUGGGGGAAAUGUGGACACCAAAGUGGGAUAAGGCCCAUACGGUGAAAGAGACUCAAAGUGGGUAAAGUCUCAUACGAGUGGUGGUUCUUAAAAGUGGGUUCGAGUCCCAUAUGGGAACCUGAUAUCCACCGUGAAAUUCGAAUCAUACGAGCAUGCAUGAACCAGGCCUGGCUUAGACGUAAGUCCGUUCAGGAAUUGAUGUUUCGUGAUCUGAAUAAUGAUCGUGGUUGAGUUAUGAGAACUCAAAUGCAUGUUGCCAUACAAUUGCGAGAUAGUUUCCCCAUCUCUCAAGUCUUCGUUCCCUUGUUGACUUGAGUUGGAUAUGAGUUGAAUAUUGAUUAGAAAACCCUGUAGAGCCGAGUGGACCCAUAGGAUAGGAGAACUCACUGAGAUUAUUAUCUCAUCCCAUUAUUGUUGUUAUUUUUCAGGUAUUCGUUAAUGGUUGAAUUCAAUAGAAGCUGUUUAUGGAUGUUUCAAGGGACACAAUUAUUUGGAUCUUCCGCUGUGGAGUUGUGUGCAAUGAAGAUAUUGCACAUAGUUCUUAGAUUUUUAUUGUUUAGGCACUAUUGUAUAACAUGUUCCAUUGAUGUUUUUAGUUUGGACAUGUGUAUAUAUUGAUGCCAUUAGGCACUUAUGUUGGAUCAGUACCAAUUAUUAACACUUGUAUGAUAUUAUUCUAAAUAUAUAUUAUACGGGUUGUUACAACAGUUGACCAAUGUAUAUUAUUCAUGUAUGAUAGAAAAAAUAGAUGUUUAUGGGCUGAAA